UUUUACUAUUUUUAGCUAUGAUUUAGGUAUAGGUUUUAGAGUCCUUUUGUUAUUUCUAGAGUUUUUGCUAGUCUUUUUCAGGUCUUACAUGUUUGAGAUGUAUUUGGAUUAUGGAGCCAUCUGGAGCAAAACAGACAACUUAAGUUGCAGAAGCAGUUCACAGACCAAAAUCCGCGUAGGUGUCCAA
Molecule: small RNA, 187 nt
Filed under: Arabidopsis thaliana (thale cress)
Lineage: Eukaryota; Viridiplantae; Streptophyta; Magnoliopsida; Brassicales; Brassicaceae
Description: ATSL210960
Source: RNAcentral